Ictalurus punctatus (channel catfish) is the source of this 551-nucleotide long non-coding RNA. The record is from Ensembl. NCBI's taxonomy places the organism in Eukaryota, Metazoa, Chordata, Actinopteri, Siluriformes, Ictaluridae.
CCUGCAGGAGCAGUUUGACCCUCUCGAUGGGCGCGACGGCUGUUUUGGAGAUAGCCGCAGCCACUCCACCUGCCAGGAAAUCCUUCAAAAAGCUGAUGACCGCCUCAGACAUGGUGCCGGUGCGUGCGUGCGUGUCUGCCUGUCUGUCUGCCUGUCUGUCUGUCUGUCUGUCUUGCGCGCACUUACAACUCUCGACACGCCGCUGGACCCUCAAAGUGGACGAGCACGCGGGCCUGUGCGUGCCUCAUAUAGCCGUGUACCUAUCGCGAGAAGAGCGGGUGAUGGACGCGCGCGGCAUCGAACGAAAAGUGAAGCGUAAAUAAAUGUCCCGGGUCAGAGGGCGCGAGGCAGACGCCAUGCAUGAUAUUGAGGGACGUUUAAAGGACAAAAGAGCCUACUCUGCUCUGAUUGGUCAGAUAUCCCAGGCUGUUGUGAUGACAGUGCGUGUUGGAAAGGAAACGCCCACUACCGUAUACGAGUUGACCAUGUCGGUUUUACCUGAUCAGUUUGAGCCAGAGUCCGAUAACGAUGCACCGGAAGAUCAACCCGAA